Non-coding RNA from Picea glauca (white spruce), 119 nucleotides. The record is from Rfam. NCBI's taxonomy places the organism in Eukaryota, Viridiplantae, Streptophyta, Pinopsida, Pinales, Pinaceae.
GAGUGAGAUCAUAGCAGCGUUAAUGCACUGGAUCCCAUCUGAAAUUCGCAGUUAAGCGUGCUUGGGCUAGAGUAGUAGUGGAAUGGGUGACCUCCCGAGAAGUCCUAGUGUUGCACACU